Molecule: small nuclear RNA, 103 nt
Organism: Pipistrellus kuhlii (Kuhl's pipistrelle)
Lineage: Eukaryota; Metazoa; Chordata; Mammalia; Chiroptera; Vespertilionidae
Source: RefSeq, a predicted model, not a curated record
UUGCUUCAAAAGCACAUAUACUAAAAGUGGAAUGAUACAGAGAAGAUUAGCAUGACCCCUGCACAAGGAUGACAUGCAAAUUCCUGAAGCUUUCCAUAUUUUA